RNAcentral lists this ribosomal RNA (347 nucleotides) under uncultured bacterium. RNAcentral's name for it is "bacterial SSU rRNA". It matches the Rfam family "Bacterial small subunit ribosomal RNA", at positions 8 to 334 of the family's 1533-position model. The record is from RNAcentral.
AGGGUUUGAUUCUGGCUCAGGAUGAACGCUGGCGGCGUGCUUAACACAUGCAAGUCGAACGAAGCACUCUAUUUGAUUUUCUUCGGAAAUGAAGAUUUUGUGACUGAGUGGCGGACGGGUGAGUAACGCGUGGGUAACCUGCCUCAUACAGGGGGAUAGCAGUUGGAAACGACUGGUAAAACCGCAUAAGCGCACGGUGUCGCAUGACACAGUGUGAAAACACUCCGGUGGUAUGAGAUGGACCCGCGUCUGAUUAGCUAGUUGGUGAGGUAACGGCCCACCAAGGCGACGAUCAGUAGCCGGCCUGAGAGGGUGAACGGCCACAUUGGGACUGAGACACGGCCCAA